UGGGGAAUAUUGCACAAUGGGCGCAAGCCUGAUGCAGCCAUGCCGCGUGUGUGAAGAAGGCCUUCGGGUUGUAAAGCACUUUCAGCGAGGAGGAAGGGUUCAGUGUUAAUAGCACUGUUCAUUGACGUUACUCGCAGAAGAAGCACCGGCUAACUCCGUGCCAGCAGCCGCGGUAAUACGGAGGGUGCAAGCGUUAAUCGGAAUUACUGGGCGUAAAGCGCACGCAGGCGGUUUGUUAAGUCAGAUGUGAAAUCCCCGCGCUUAACGUGGAACUGCAUUUGAAACUGGCAAGCUAGAGUCUUGUAGAGGGGGGUAGAAUUCCAGGUGUAGCGGUGAAAUGCGUAGAGAUCUGGAGGAAUACCGGUGGCGAAGGCGGCCCCCCUGGACAAAGACUGACGCUCAGGUGCGAAAGCGUGGGGAGCAAAACAGGAUUAGAUACCCUGGUAGUCCACGCUGUAAACGAUGUCGACUUGGAGGUUGUGCCCUUGAGGCGUGGCUUCCGGAGCUAACGCGUUAAGUCGNCCGCCUGGGGGAGUACGGCCGCAAGGUUAAAAC
Molecule: ribosomal RNA, 555 nt
Filed under: uncultured bacterium
Lineage: Bacteria
Description: partial 16S ribosomal RNA
Rfam family: Bacterial small subunit ribosomal RNA
Source: RNAcentral